This 159-nucleotide ribosomal RNA is filed under the name Holcolaetis vellerea. RNAcentral's name for it is "partial 16S ribosomal RNA". Lineage: Eukaryota; Metazoa; Arthropoda; Arachnida; Araneae; Salticidae. The record is from RNAcentral.
GNUCAGACCGGUGCAAGCCAGGUCGGUUUCUAUCUUCUAGAAUAAUUUUAUACAGUACGAAAGGACCUAUAAAUAUUAUAUUUAUAACAAAUUGGCAGAUCAAUGCAUUAGAAUUAGAAUCUAAUAAACAUAAUUAUAUUCACUACUAAUUUUAUUAUU